AGUACAUAAUGUGGGCAUUAUUAUAACAAUCCCUUGAAUCUAUCUCAUGCGUCGAACAACGAUUCUCUUUUCUUUUAUGCAAAACUUGUGAUUUGGUUUCUAAAAU
This is a small nucleolar RNA of Zingiber officinale, 106 nucleotides long. The record is from RefSeq and is a predicted model, not a curated record. Lineage: Eukaryota; Viridiplantae; Streptophyta; Magnoliopsida; Zingiberales; Zingiberaceae.